UGGGGGAUAUUGCACAAUGGGGGGAACCCUGAAUGCAGCGACGCCGCGUGGGUGAAGAAGCGCCUCGGCGCGUAAAGCCCUGUCAGCAGGGAAGAAAAUGACGGUACCUGAAGAAGAAGCCCCGGCUAACUACGUGCC
RNAcentral lists this ribosomal RNA (138 nucleotides) under uncultured bacterium. RNAcentral's name for it is "partial 16S ribosomal RNA". It matches the Rfam family "Bacterial small subunit ribosomal RNA", at positions 355 to 509 of the family's 1533-position model. The record is from RNAcentral.